This 482-nucleotide ribosomal RNA is filed under the name uncultured bacterium. RNAcentral's name for it is "bacterial SSU rRNA". It matches the Rfam family "Bacterial small subunit ribosomal RNA", at positions 30 to 507 of the family's 1533-position model. The record is from RNAcentral.
AUUGAACGCUGGCGGCAUGCUUUACACAUGCAAGUCGAACGGUAGAGGGGGCAACCCCUCAAGAGUGGCGAACGGGUGAGUAAUAUAUCGGAACGUGCCCAGUCGUGGGGGAUAACGUAGCGAAAGCUACGCUAAUACCGCAUACGAUCUACGGAUGAAAGCGGGGGACUCGCAAGAGCCUCGCGCGAUUGGAGCGGCCGAUAUCAGAUUAGGUAGUUGGUGGGGUAAAGGCUCACCAAGCCAACGAUCUGUAGCUGGUCUGAGAGGACGACCAGCCACACUGGAACUGAGACACGGUCCAGACUCCUACGGGAGGCAGCAGUGGGGAAUUUUGGACAAUGGACGCAAGUCUGAUCCAGCCAUUCCGCGUGCAGGAUGAAGGCCCUCGGGUUGUAAACUGCUUUUGUACGGAACGAAAAGGUUUCUAUUAAUACUAGGAGCUCAUGACGGUACCGUAAGAAUAAGCACCGGCUAACUACGUG